CACCUGAUUGAUUUUGGUCGCCAACGAGUGGCGGACGGGUGAGUAACACGUAGGUAACCUGCCCAGAAGCGGGGGACAACAUUUGGAAACAGAUGCUAAUACCGCAUAACAGCGUUGUUCGCAUGAACAACGCUUAAAAGAUGGCUUCUCGCUAUCACUUCUGGAUGGACCUGCGGUGCAUUAGCUUGUUGGUGGGGUAACGGCCUACCAAGGCGAUGAUGCAUAGCCGAGUUGAGAGACUGAUCGGCCACAAUGGGACUGAGACACGGCCCAUACUCCUACGGGAGGCAGCAGUAGGGAAUCUUCCACAAUGGGCGCAAGCCUGAUGGAGCAACACCGCGUGAGUGAAGAAGGGUUUCGGCUCGUAAAGCUCUGUUGUUAAAGAAGAACACGUAUGAGAGUAACUGUUCAUACGUUGACGGUAUUUAACCAGAAAGUCACGGCUAACUACGUGCCAGCAGCCGCGGUAAUACGUAGGUGGCAAGCGUUAUCCGGAUUUAUUGGGCGUAAAGAGAGUGCAGGCGGUUUUCUAAGUCUGAUGUGAAAGCCUUCGGCUUAACCGGAGAAGUGCAUCGGAAACUGGAUAACUUGAGUGCAGAAGAGGGUAGUGGAACUCCAUGUGUAGCGGUGGAAUGCGUAGAUAUAUGGAAGAACACCAGUGGCGAAGGCGGCUACCUGGUCUGCAACUGACGCUGAGACUCGAAAGCAUGGGUAGCGAACAGGAUUAGAUACCCUGGUAGUCCAUGCCGUAAACGAUGAGUGCUAGGUGUUGGAGGGUUUCCGCCCUUCAGUGCCGGAGCUAACGCAUUAAGCACUCCGCCUGGGGAGUACGACCGCAAGGUUGAAACUCAAAGGAAUUGACGGGGGCCCGCACAAGCGGUGGAGCAUGUGGUUUAAUUCGAAGCUACGCGAAGAACCUUACCAGGUCUUGACAUCUUGCGCCAACCCUAGAGAUAGGGCGUUUCCUUCGGGAACGCAAUGACAGGUGGUGCAUGGUCGUCGUCAGCUCGUGUCGUGAGAUGUUGGGUUAAGUCCCGCAACGAGCGCAACCCUUGUUACUAGUUGCCAGCAUUAAGUUGGGCACUCUAGUGAGACUGCCGGUGACAAACCGGAGGAAGGUGGGGACGACGUCAGAUCAUCAUGCCCCUUAUGACCUGGGCUACACACGUGCUACAAUGGACGGUACAACGAGUCGCGAACUCGCGAGGGCAAGCAAAUCUCUUAAAACCGUUCUCAGUUCGGACUGCAGGCUGCAACUCGCCUGCACGAAGUCGGAAUCGCUAGUAAUCGCGGAUCAGCAUGCCGCGGUGAAUACGUUCCCGGGCCUUGUACACACCGCCCGUCACACCAUGAGAGUUUGUAA
Molecule: ribosomal RNA, 1363 nt
Filed under: Limosilactobacillus fermentum
Lineage: Bacteria; Bacillati; Bacillota; Bacilli; Lactobacillales; Lactobacillaceae
Description: bacterial SSU rRNA
Rfam family: Bacterial small subunit ribosomal RNA
Source: RNAcentral